Molecule: long non-coding RNA, 1489 nt
Filed under: Gallus gallus (chicken)
Lineage: Eukaryota; Metazoa; Chordata; Aves; Galliformes; Phasianidae
Description: lncRNA (ENSGALG00010009723.1)
Source: RNAcentral
UGGGGAACAGCCCUGGUUUUCAGCCCUGUGAUGUGAGUGACAGAACAAGACUCAUUGUCCCUGCCUCUCCAGAACGUGAGCAGUUUUUACACUGUGAAAUUGGAUGUAACUUCUGUUCUUCUCUUGUGCAUUUGGAGACAUCUUGGUAUGUGCUAGUAUAUCUGCAUCAAGCAAGAAAAAUGGGAGCACUGGGGAUAUUUUCGGCCUUCAUGUUUGAAUAAGAAGUCAGAUGAAUUGCCAGGCAUAUGUAUGUGGAUUAUGGAUACAGAAGAAAAUUCCCAUUGUAUAAAGAAGAAUAUAUGCUGAGCACUGAAGCAGAGAAAAUGAGAGGUGUUUCUACCAAAUGAAAUAAAUAAAGUAACCAUACACCUCUAAGAAACUUGUAGGUGUUUGAGACCUUGUGAUAAAGCUACCACAUUAAGGCAGAUGCUAUAAAACGUCAGUGUUACAGAAACAAAAGUUUGAAAUCUGUAACAUCCCACACAUGAAAGGAGGAAAAGUGACAAGAUUUGCAAAUCCCCCAUGAGGUUAAGGUGAAAUGACACUCAAGUGCCAGUCUGAGAAACAUUUCAUCCACUUCUGACUUAGUGUCAUCUCAAACCAGCGUUGGCUUCUGUGACCAGGUGGAGCAGUUAAGCAAAGAUCUGUAUCUCCUUGGGAACUGGAAGAAGUGUACAGUAAAUGAGGAAAGACAGAGUCAUGAGCUGGAUAAGAAAGCUUCAUCUGACAAUCAGAAAAUAGCCAACAGAUGGAGAUAACUAAAGGGUGAUUUCACUUUUGUGGAUCAUUUGAUUUAAUGAAAGAACACAAGGAGGAUUACUCUGAUGACAUCUUGAUAUAGUGUGUUAAAGAGGCAAGGGAUGGACAUCAACAUGACCAUCCCCAAAUAAAUGAGUGGAUCAUUACAAAUUCCCAGCACUUCUGUACACCUUCACUUGGAAAGAACAGAAGGAUUGAGAGAGAACUCACAAACUCUGCAGAGAGCAUGAACACUCAGUGGUGUUGUUUUGUACAGCAGAAGGGCUUGAAACUGCCAGCAGCUGCACACAUGCAUGGUUACAAAAUACACCGAUACCUGUUCAUCACUAAUAGGAAGUGAGCAUAUAUAUAUUUGGAAAAGGUAGAGUUUGGUUUGAUCAAUUGUCAAAGCAUCAUGACCAGAAAGAGCCAAACCACUUUUGCUUGAAAGCUAGUAGUAUUUAUGGUAAAAGUAUUUCUCUUUUUCCCUUUGCCAAAUAUGUUGGAUUCAGGCUUAUUUAAGGAGGCUCCAAUUUGCUACCUUAAUGUGACUGAGACUAUCAGUUUAAAAAAUUGAAAAAUAUUAAUGUUGGAUUCAAUGACUAAAGGAAAUUAUAUUUUUACAUUUAUGUACUAAAUAAACAUUGUUUAUAUAAUACAUCUCUUAUUAAAAAACACUGAGGAGCACAUUCAUUAAAGAAGUAUCCACUGCUUAUUAUUCACAUGGAAUCAGUUUUAACUGAUUUUAUCA